This 433-nucleotide ribosomal RNA is filed under the name uncultured bacterium. RNAcentral describes it as "partial 16S ribosomal RNA". It matches the Rfam family "Bacterial small subunit ribosomal RNA", at positions 29 to 507 of the family's 1533-position model. The record is from RNAcentral.
AACGAACGCUGGCGGCAUGCCUAACACAUGCAAGUCGAACGAGACCUUCGGGUCUAGUGGCGCACGGGUGCGUAACGCGUGGGAACCUGCCCUUAGGUUCGGAAUAACUCCCCGAAAGGGGUGCUAAUACCGGAUAAUGUCUUCGGACCAAAGAUUUAUCGCCUUUGGAUGGGCCCGCGUUGGAUUAGCUAGUUGGUAGGGUAAAAGCCUACCAAGGCGACGAUCCAUAGCUGGUCUGAGAGGAUGAUCAGCCACACUGGGACUGAGACACGGCCCAGACUCCUACGGGAGGCAGCAGUGGGUAAUAUUGGACACUGGGCGAAAGCCUGAUCCAGCAAUGCCGCGUGAGUGAUGAAGGCCUUAGGGUUGUAAAGCUCUUUUACCCGGGAUGAUAAUGACAGUACCGGGAGAAUAAGCUCCGGCUAACUCCGUG